Molecule: transfer RNA, 75 nt
Filed under: Perca fluviatilis (European perch)
Lineage: Eukaryota; Metazoa; Chordata; Actinopteri; Perciformes; Percidae
Description: tRNA-Glu
Source: RNAcentral
UCCCUGACGGUCUAGUGGCCGUUAGGAUUUGGCGCUCUCACUGCUGCAUCUCGGGUUCGAUUCCUGGUCAGGAAA